RNAcentral lists this small RNA (207 nucleotides) under Vigna angularis var. angularis. RNAcentral describes it as "Non-protein coding transcript". The record is from RNAcentral. Lineage: Eukaryota; Viridiplantae; Streptophyta; Magnoliopsida; Fabales; Fabaceae.
GGGAACUUAGUCGUACUGUUUCAUUACUGAGUGCAUUCCCUUCAAUAGCUGUGCUUAAGAUUAAGUUCAUGAGGACCACUAUCUGGGAAUUGGAUGAGGGGUGGAAGGCCAAUCUGAAGCAUGAGUAUCCAAACCUGAGGGAGCUGGAAGUGUCUGGGUACAGAAGAGACUCCUGUCAAAUUGAGUUGCUGAUCAGCAUAUUUAAAA